CCCCCACAUCCCUCCUCCGGGCCCGCCCCCACAUCCCUCCUCCGGGCCCGCCCCCACAUCCCUCCUCCGGGCUGCCUCCCGGACCCGCGUCCCACCUCCUGGACCCGCCUCUCAGCCGCGCGUCCCACCUCCGUAUCCCGCUUUCGGGGCCCAUUGCGCAUCACAUCACAUCAGCCCCCGCUUGCCAUUCCCGCAUCCCGGUCCCGCACCUGCGACCCAACUCCGCGUCCCCGCGUUCCAACCCCUCGUCCCAUCCAGCGUCUCGACCCCGCGUUCCUCGGCGGGAGGGGAAUGGAGGUUUGAUGGAUUGUUGCAGCAAAGGGUGCUUGAGUCUCCAAAUACAGAGGGAAAAAAAUCAAGGAGUCCGAGUCCUGUGGAUUCAUGCUUUUUACAUUUGAGCAUCCCUGAGCACUAUGCUACCUUUAGGCUAGGCCUGUUUACCAGCUAUUGAUACAUCUUGGGUAUCUGCAGCUCACCACCUUGCUUUUUGAACUGCCUCAGUUAUACUCCCUCUCUGGGCCUAAUUUAACAGGAUUUCACAUCUGAAUGUGCGUGAAACCUGCACAUUUCUUCUGACACUGACAAUAUCAGAUAUGUGAACAUCUCAUGUCAAUGGUUUAAACAAUCAUCUCUUUUCUACAGCCAGUGAUACCUCUUAAACUUGUCCCUAAUACAUUUAAUAUUGUAUUGGGAAACACACAAGUGGAGCAGGAAUAUGGAGAGUGGAAAAAUUGAUAUGUAUGAGUAGAAGCAAACAUUUUUACAUAUAAGGGGUGUGAGACAGAAUUAAUUCAAAAUUAAGUGAAGCUGUAAUAAAAAAUGAGACUACCCGAGGUGAUUUACA
Molecule: long non-coding RNA, 844 nt
Filed under: Parus major (Great Tit)
Lineage: Eukaryota; Metazoa; Chordata; Aves; Passeriformes; Paridae
Description: lncRNA (ENSPMJG00000003517.1)
Source: RNAcentral